This is a non-coding RNA of Phacochoerus africanus (Common warthog), 2606 nucleotides long. The record is from the annotation of a RefSeq genome assembly. Lineage: Eukaryota; Metazoa; Chordata; Mammalia; Artiodactyla; Suidae.
ACCCCACACACCCACAUGAGCCGCCAGGGCACUGUCUGGACUCCCCCAGGCCCUCUGGGACAGAAAGCAACCAGAAGAAAAGGGAACUUCAGGAAGCAGCCGGGCCACCCGGUUUCAAUCCCAUUCUUAGUGUGCAGGGCUGUGGGCAGGGGGGUCGUGCCUCCAGGGACCAGACACCCACCCGAGGAAGCAGGGCUGCAGGCACAGAGCACAGACACAAGGAGCCACUUGCACCUGGGGCCAGAGCAGGAGGGGCCCGGAGCCCGGGGCAGCAGGGGAGCCACCUCCUCGGCCCCCACACUCGCCCCCAAGACGGCCCCAUCGGUCUACCCUCUGGCCCCCUGCGGCAGGGACACGUCUGGCCCUAACGUGGCCUUGGGCUGCCUGGCCUCAAGCUACUUCCCCGAGCCAGUGACCGUGACCUGGAACUCGGGCGCCCUGACCAGUGGCGUGCACACCUUCCCAUCCGUCCUGCAGCCGUCAGGGCUCUACUCCCUCAGCAGCAUGGUGACCGUGCCGGCCAGCAGCCUGUCCAGCAAGAGCUACACGUGCAAUGUCAACCACCCGGCCACCAGCACCAAGGUGGACAAGCGUGUUGGAACAAAGACCAAGCCACCAUGUCCCAUAUGCCCAGCCUGUGAAGUGGCCGGGCCCUCGGUCUUCAUCUUCCCUCCAAAACCCAAGGACACCCUCAUGAUCUCCCAGACCCCCGAGGUCACGUGCGUGGUGGUGGACGUCAGCAAGGAGCACGCCGAGGUCCAGUUCUCCUGGUACGUGGGCGGCGUAGAGGUGCACACGGCCGAGACGAGGCCAAAGGAGGAGCAGUUCAACAGCACCUACCGCGUGGUCAGCGUCCUGCCCAUUCAGCACCAGGACUGGCUGAAGGGGAAAGAGUUCAAGUGCAAGGUCAACAACGUAGACCUCCCAGCCCCCAUCACGAGGACCAUCUCCAAGGCUAUAGGGCAGAGCCGGGACCCGCAGGUGUACACCCUGCCCCCAGCCCCCGAGGAGCUGACCAGGAGCAAAGUCAGCGUAACCUGCCUGGUCAUUGGCUUCUACCCACCUGACAUCCAUGUUGAGUGGAAGAUCAACGGACAGCCGGAGCCAGAGAACACAUACCGCACCACCCCGCCCCAGCUGGACGAGAACGGGACCUUCUUCCUGUACAGCAAGCUCACGGUGGACAAGGCCAGCUGGCAGCGUGGAGACGAAUUCAAGUGUGCAGUGAUGCACGAGGCUCUGCACAACCACUACACCGAGAAGUCCGUCUCCCAGACUCCGGAACUGCUCCUGGAGGAGAGCUGUGCCGACGCCCAGGACGGGGAGCUGGACGGGCUCUGGACCACCAUCUCCAUCUUCAUCACGCUCUUCCUGCUCAGCGUGUGCUACAGCGCCACCGUGACGCUCUUCAAGGUGAAGUGGAUCUUCUCGUCGGUGGUGGAGCUGAAGCGCACCAUUGUCCCCGACUACAGAAACAUGAUCGGGCAGGGGGCCUAGGGCGCCCUCCAGGGCGGCCAGGGCCGCCCCACACCCGACAGGACCGCGUCCGUCAGCUCAAGCUGCUCCGCCUGCGCCAGGCCUGCCUCCGCCCUCUGACCUCGCCCGCACCUCUGGCUCUCGGCCACCUGGCCCGCACCUCCGCCCUCGGGCCUGGCGGCCCCCUCAGAAGGCGCCCCGCACCCCCACCGCCCCUCGGAAGCCCGAGUGGGCAGCAGCUCGGGCCCCGACCUGACUUGAUGGACACCCACCACCACCAGCCCCCGCCAGAGCCACGGGACACCGCCAGGGCCACAUGUCCUCACCAGGAACGCCCGGCUCAGCGAGCGGGUCCAGCCGGCCACGAGGAGACCGGCGUCCAGCGGCUGACGGGACAGGGCCCGGGCUCCCUGUGGACCCCGUCCAGACCGGGCUCCAGAGGCAGGGCCCCCGAGAGGAGGCUCCUGUGUCACAGCCUGGAGUGGGAACAGCUGCCCCCAACGCCAGCGUCUCCCAGCGGGGAAGUUCCCAGACGGGCCACCAACAGGCGCUCAGGUCACCUCCAGCCCAGGGCACUCGAGGGAAGAGGACCUGGGCCCGAGGCCACGGCAGGAGCCCCGGUGGGGACAGAGCAGCCCUGCCCAGGGAAGCGGUGAGGUGCCGCCAGACUGGCCUCCUGGAGGGGGUCCCGCUGGCUCGGACCCCCGCGGGCAGGACGGGCCUUCGCUGGACACAGGCAGGGGUGGCGGGUCCGCACAGGGUACAGGGCAGCCAGCCCAUCCCAAGGUACGAGGCCUGAGACCCGUCCAUCCGCCCAUCCAUCCAUCCUUCCAUCCAGCAGGAGCUCCUUCUGCCUGCCCCGGGGCCUGGGUGAGAGGUGAAGAACCCCCAGGAGCGAGCCCCAGGCCCCGGACCCCCCCAAGCCGGCCCCGCACUGACUCUCCUGCCCUGUCUCUACGGGAACCCCAAGUGGGUUCAUGGCAUCCGGGGAGCAGCCUCGGGACUGGGAGGGAAGGCUCAUCCGCCAAGCUGUGGUCGCUCUUUCUCCUUGGUGAGUGUCUGGAGCCCAGGCACUCUCCUCACUGUUGCUCUCAUUUUUCACGGCAAUAAACCACUUUUACAACCCCUCA